Molecule: long non-coding RNA, 466 nt
Organism: Oxyura jamaicensis (ruddy duck)
Lineage: Eukaryota; Metazoa; Chordata; Aves; Anseriformes; Anatidae
Exons: 3
Source: RefSeq, a predicted model, not a curated record
GAGAGACUGAAAACAUUUAUUUCCUGCGACUUGCCCAUUUCUUGAGCUCUGUUAAACCAAGCGUGCCUAGCGGGGGAAAGAGGCAGCGUGAGCCCCACGGACCCUUCGUCCAGCUGGGGAGGCCAACACUUGAGCGCCUGGUUCUGACAGCUGAAAGCUUUGUUCUCCUUGGCAGACCUUGUCCCCUGCCCUGCCCCUGUGCAGCCCUGGGAUGCCUGAGGACAAGACCUGCAUCUCUGAAGCCACACACGCUCCUGGGCACUGCCAGCCCUGCAGAGGACACAACACAGCCCUGCGUGUCCCAGUGUGCACAUGCCAGCUGCAGGUGGCAAGAAGGCAGAUUACAGCAGCAUCAGUUCAAAUCUUUGUUUUCAUUCCCACACCAAAUAGCCUACCAACAACCCUCCCCUGGGCUUCCAUGAAAUGAAGCUCAAUGUUCACAAGGUAGUGAAAAGCAAAAACUAAA